Molecule: long non-coding RNA, 1691 nt
Organism: Equus asinus (donkey)
Lineage: Eukaryota; Metazoa; Chordata; Mammalia; Perissodactyla; Equidae
Source: Ensembl
AGUAGUUGUGAAUCAGAGGUGUCAAGGUCCACUCCCAAGAUUCCAAAUAGCAGCUCUUAGUCUUGCAAGAAAAUUUAGCCAGGAGAAGGAUAAGUGAGAGGCCUACUGGAAGACAGAGGAAGUCGUUAUUCCUAGCAGAAGGUGAAAUUAGUGCUUGGGAUUCCCUCACUGUAAUGACUGACUGUUUUGUCGGCCAGGAUUGGAUUAACCUAAGGGUAUUCAGAGAUCUAUGUAUCUCACUGGGUCAUCUGCAUUUUACUGAGGAAUAGGAAGAUUAACUGCAGGCACCAGACUGGUCGUCCCACUUAACGUAACCCUGGAAAGUUCCUCUCGCAUUCCAGAAACUACUCAGUCUCCUGCCUCUGUGAAGUUUGCCUAUCUGUCUGGCAAAAGACAGUUCAGGUCGUGUUUUUCACAAGCAAUAGAAAAAGCCAGUUUCAACAAAGCUAGGAGUUUGUCCUAAGAAUCUGGAGUUACUUAAGAGAUAUUUCAACAACCUGUGUCUUCAGUAAGGCUCCCCGGAAACAGACGCCUAAACAGAGAGCUACAUGCCGGGUGCUGUGGUUUUUUGUUUUGUUUUGGUGGGGGGUGCUCUAAGAAACAACACCUGUAGGGGGAGUAAGGGAAACAGACUUGGGCAGAGGAAGAAGUUGAACUUUGAUGCCGUUGUAUUCAGCUAAGCCUACAGGGUGCUGGAUAUCAGUGUAAAAUUGUCUCCAGUAAAAGGAGCUGGGGGCCUUUUUAGGGAAGUAGAACAAAUGGACUGCUACACCUGGAAACCUAAGCCAGCAGCCUGGAAUUACAGACAUUGCACACAAGUUGGUGUCUGCUUUUCCAUCAACUUGUAAAUUACUGGAGAGGAGGACCUCAAGACAUUCUCCCUUGUUUUCUUCACAAUCAGGGAUGAUAUUGAAGAUAGUUAACACCCAGUACAGCACAGGCACCAACCAACUCAAAUGGACACUGUUCUUAGGCAAUUCGUAUGGCUAUACUAGUGGAUACAGCUGCAUAUUUGUUCUGCACACAGAAGGCAUCCAAUAAAUGAUCGUUGGAUUGAAUUUCAUUGGUUUGGUCAUCAUGGCCUUGCCACCUUUGUUCCAGAUAAAAGGAUCUGUAUGAGAGAAGCAGCUCUGGCACAUGCACACUUGCGGAUGCCGUUCAUCUGCUUUUCUCCUGGGACUACCAGGAAAUAAAUUAGCUAUCAGAUCAGAGCAAACCAAAAUUUAAAAGAUCAUAAAUGAAAAAUGAAUGUGUUGUUAUUUGACUUUUUUGUAUCGUUAUUCAUAGAUUUUCUUAAAGUAAUAAUCAGAGAACAUCAUCAACUAAAAUAUGUUUGUAACCCAAGUCAGUGACGAACUUGGUAAACACGGCAGAAUUACGCCCUCUCUUAAUUAGCCUUUGGGGAGACACCAAGUUUUGAACCGCUGCUUGUAGCUCUGGGAAUCUUCUAAGAAGCAGGAGUAGAUUAACCUCUAGAAGAGAAAUAUGCCAAAAACUGAUUUUCACAUAUGACUUGGUGAGUCUUAAACAGAAACAGGCUAACAUGCCAAAUAUGACCAGCUGAGAAGUAUCAACAUCAAAGGCAGAAAUCAUAAACUAUUUGACACAAACAUAUUAAAAAGUUUUACAUCAAGAAAUUAUAAAAAACAAAAUUUAAGACAGGUGACAAAUUUUAAAAUAUUGCUGCAUAU